Pelobates cultripes (western spadefoot toad) is the source of this 212-nucleotide non-coding RNA. The record is from the annotation of a GenBank genome assembly. NCBI's taxonomy places the organism in Eukaryota, Metazoa, Chordata, Amphibia, Anura, Pelobatidae.
CUCCUGCUGCUGUUGGGGAGAGGGACUGAAAAUCUCCUCUCCCGGUAACUCCAGCUGCCGCUGGGGAGAGAGACUGGUUGUCUCUUCUCCCUUUACCUCAUACUGCCGCUGAGGAGGGAGACCAACUGUCUCUACUCCCUGUAACUCUUCCUGGUGUUGGGUAGGGGGACAGACCAUCUCCACUUCGAGUGAUGCUUGCUGCUGCUGGGAUG